AUUGAACGCUGGCGGCAGGCCUAACACAUGCAAGUCGAGCGGCCUUAGGGAGCUUGCUCCUGGAUUCAGUGGCGGACGGGUGAGUAAGGCCUAGGAAUCUGACUGGCAGUGGGGUAUAACGUUCUCAAACGGGUGCUCAUACCCCAUACGUCCUGAGGGAGAACGUGGGGGAUCUUCUGACCUCUCGCUAUCAGACGAGUCUAGGUCGGAUUAGGUAGUUGGUGGGGUAAAGGCCCACCACGGCGACGAUUCGUAACUGGUCUGAUAGGAUGAUAAGUAACACUGGAACUGAGCCACGGUCCAGACUACUACGAGAAGCAGCAGUGGGGAAUAUUAGACAGUGGGCGAAAGCCUGAUCCAGCCAUGCCGCGUGUGUGAAGAAGGGCUUCGGAUUGUGAAGCACUUUAAUUUGGAAAGAAAAGCAGUAAGUUAGUAGCUUGCUGUUUUGACGUUACCGACAGAAUAAGCACCGGCUAACUUCGUG
This 484-nucleotide ribosomal RNA is filed under the name uncultured bacterium. RNAcentral's name for it is "partial 16S ribosomal RNA". It matches the Rfam family "Bacterial small subunit ribosomal RNA", at positions 30 to 507 of the family's 1533-position model. The record is from RNAcentral.